AUUGAACGCUGGCGACAUGCUUUACACAUGCAAGUCGAACGGUAACAGGCCGCAAGGUGCUGACGAGUGGCGAACGGGUGAGUAAUGCAUCGGAACGUGCCCAGUCGUGGGGGAUAACUACUCGAAAGAGUAGCUAAUACCGCAUACGAUCUAUGGAUGAAAGCGGGGGACCGUAAGGCCUCGCGCGAUUGGAGCGGCCGAUGUCAGAUUAGGUAGUUGGUGGGGUAAAGGCUCACCAAGCCAACGAUCUGUAGCUGGUCUGAGAGGACGACCAGCCACACUGGGACUGAGACACGGCCCAGACUCCUACGGGAGGCAGCAGUGGGGAAUUUUGGACAAUGGGCGCAAGCCUGAUCCAGCAAUGCCGCGUGCAGGAAGAAGGCCUUCGGGUUGUAAACUGCUUUUGUACGGAACGAAACGGCUCUGGUUAAUACCCGGGGCUAAUGACGGUACCGUAAGAAUAAGCACCGGCUAACUACGUG
RNAcentral lists this ribosomal RNA (482 nucleotides) under uncultured bacterium. RNAcentral's name for it is "partial 16S ribosomal RNA". It matches the Rfam family "Bacterial small subunit ribosomal RNA", at positions 30 to 507 of the family's 1533-position model. The record is from RNAcentral.